This 581-nucleotide long non-coding RNA is filed under the name Crocodylus porosus (Australian saltwater crocodile). Its description in RNAcentral is "lncRNA (ENSCPRG00005018042.1)". Lineage: Eukaryota; Metazoa; Chordata; Crocodylia; Crocodylidae. The record is from RNAcentral.
UAUUUGCAGCUACUCUUCCAGCCAAGGAGAAAUAGGCAAGACAAGGCCCAUGUCUUGCUUGCAGGAUGGAAAGCUGGAUUCCAGUGCCUUCUCCACUCACUCCACUUCCUCUCCAAGCAUUUGAAACUGUGCUCUGCUAUAGGCAGAUUCUGUUCUGCUGACCCCCUAGGGAGGCCUGGCAUCAUCACCUACCCAGGUACUGGACACAUCCUCUACACCAUCUUCACAACCAAAUUAAAUGGACUAAGUGGCUGGAUCAUCUACUACAUUGGCUGGAGAAGGCUUUUUAAUCUAGCAGCCAAAAACAAAAUGAGCUUGGAUGACUAUGUGCAGAAGCUAGACACUUGUGUUUCAUUUUGGUUUUGUUCUGAACAGUCCUAGUUCAAUACUCAGCGCAUUAAAUAAGUCUCAACUGCCACAUUUUUUUUUGAGGGAAACACAUCAGUUUACACCUCAAGGAGGACAUCUUUCAAAUUCUCAGUGAGAAAAUGGGCAUGUCAUGGAAACCCAAUGGGAAAGAAAACACUGUGUCACUUAGGAUCUGAAAUAAAGAGAUGGAAAUAAGAAUAGAGGAAGACUGA